Molecule: ribosomal RNA, 497 nt
Filed under: uncultured bacterium
Lineage: Bacteria
Description: partial 16S ribosomal RNA
Rfam family: Bacterial small subunit ribosomal RNA
Source: RNAcentral
GAUGAACGCUGGCGGCGUGCCUAAUACAUGCCAGUUGAGCGAUCAAGGGUGGUACUUGUUCCUAUUGGGUGAGCAGCGAACGGGUGAGUAACGCGUGGGGAACCUGCCUAUGAGCGGGGGACAACAUUUGGAAACGAAUGCUAAUACCGCAUAAAAACUCUAAACACAUGGUUUAAGAUUGAAAGAUGCAUUUGCUUCACUCUAUGAUGAUCCCGCGUCGGAUUAGCUAGUUGGUGAAGUAAAGGCCCACCCAGGCGAAGAUACAUUGCCGACCUGGGGGGGGGGUCGGCCACAUUGGGACUGGGACACGGGCCAAGCCCCUACGGGGAGCAGCAGGAGGGGAUCUUCGGCAAUGGACGGAAGUCUGACCGGGCAACGCCGGGGGAGUGAAGGAAGGUUUCGGGUCGUAAAACUCUGUUGAUAAGGAAGGACGUUAGUGGUAAGGGAAAGCUCAUCAAGUGACGGUAACUACCCAGAAAGCGACGGCUAACUACGUG